Molecule: ribosomal RNA, 279 nt
Filed under: uncultured Ascomycota
Lineage: Eukaryota; Fungi; Ascomycota
Description: partial 18S ribosomal RNA
Rfam family: Eukaryotic small subunit ribosomal RNA
Source: RNAcentral
UUGGAGGGCAAGUCUGGUGCCAGCAGCCGCGGUAAUUCCAGCUCCAAUAGCGUAUAUUAAAGUUGUUGAGGUUAAAAAGCUCGUAGUUGAACCUUGGGCCUAGCCGGCCGGUCCGCCUCACCGCGUGCACUGGCUCGGCUGGGUCUUUCCUUCUGGAGAACCGCAUGCCCUUCACUGGGUGUCACGGGGAACCAGGACCUUUACUUUGAAAAAAUUAGAGUGUUUAAAGCAGGCAUUUUGCUUGAAUACAUUAGCAUGGAAUAAUAAAAUAGGACGGCA